This 253-nucleotide ribosomal RNA is filed under the name uncultured bacterium. RNAcentral's name for it is "partial 16S ribosomal RNA". It matches the Rfam family "Bacterial small subunit ribosomal RNA", at positions 524 to 776 of the family's 1533-position model. The record is from RNAcentral.
UACGGAGGGGGCUAGCGUUGUUCGGAAUUACUGGGCGUAAAGCGUACGUAGGCGGCGAUCUAAGUCAGAGGUGAAAGCCCGGGGCUCAACCCCGGAACUGCCUUUGAGACUGGAUUGCUAGAAUCGUGGAGAGGUGAGUGGAAUUCCGAGUGUAGAGGUGAAAUUCGUAGAUAUUCGGAAGAACACCAGUGGCGAAGGCGGCUCACUGGACACGUAUUUACGCUGAGGUACGAAAGCGUGGGGAGCAAACAGG